CAGCCGCCGCGGGAAUACGGAGGGCGCGAGCGUUACCCGGAUUUACUGGGCGUAAAGGGCGUGUAGGCGGCCUGGGGCGUCCCAUGUGAAAGGCCACGGCUCAACCGUGGAGGAGCGUGGGAUACGCUCAGGCUAGAGGGUGGGAGAGGGUGGUGGAAUUCCCGGAGUAGCGGUGAAAUGCGCAGAUACCGGGAGGAACGCCGAUGGCGAAGGCAGCCACCUGGUCCACUUCUGACGCUGAGGCGCGAAAGCGCGGGGAGCAAACCGGAUUAGAUACCCCUGUAGUCCCUGUCUCUUAUAC
RNAcentral lists this ribosomal RNA (301 nucleotides) under uncultured bacterium. RNAcentral's name for it is "partial 16S ribosomal RNA". It matches the Rfam family "Bacterial small subunit ribosomal RNA", at positions 509 to 807 of the family's 1533-position model. The record is from RNAcentral.